Molecule: transfer RNA, 67 nt
Filed under: Lepetodrilus guaymasensis
Lineage: Eukaryota; Metazoa; Mollusca; Gastropoda; Lepetellida; Lepetodrilidae
Description: tRNA-Phe
Rfam family: tRNA
About the family: Transfer RNA (tRNA) molecules are approximately 80 nucleotides in length. Their secondary structure includes four short double-helical elements and three loops (D, anti-codon, and T loops). Further hydrogen bonds mediate the characteristic L-shaped molecular structure. tRNAs have two regions of fundamental functional importance: the anti-codon, which is responsible for specific mRNA codon recognition, and the 3' end, to which the tRNAs corresponding amino acid is attached (by aminoacyl-tRNA synthetases). tRNAs cope with the degeneracy of the genetic code in two manners: having more than one tRNA (with a specific anti-codon) for a particular amino acid; and 'wobble' base-pairing, i.e. permitting non-standard base-pairing at the 3rd anti-codon position.
Source: RNAcentral
AUUUUAGUAGUUCAUAUUCUAGAACGCAGCACUGAAGAUGCUGAAAAGGGGGUUUCCCCCUAAAAUA